UUCUUAAGGGGCUCAGUCAGUUUCUCCACAGCUGGUGGGAGAGGGUCUCUGUUAAAAAUAACUUCAUUGUUCUGGUUGUAACUAAUUAGGAAUUUGCAAUUAUCCAGGCAAAUCUAAGAUAAAGUUUGGCUUACUACUCUAUAUGAAAAGGUUUUACUGUAACAAGUUUAAAUAGAUCAUAAGGGGAAUAUUUACUUAAUCGGGAGAACAAACCACUUUAAGCACUUUGAAAAAAUCAAUUUACUUAAAAGCAAUGUAAAACUGCAGUAUGGGUUGAAAAUAGUUUGACUACUGGGCUUUUUCAUAGAGGUGUGGGACUUCCAUGAAAUAAAUGGCAAUAUAUUCAGUACUGUCACAUAAACUAGGAAUAGUUAGAAGUAUAAUUUUGUAUACAAAAUAAGUCACAACAGUAAGCAGAUGUCCACCUCCCCAUAUCUCAUCCCACUCCCACCAAUAGAGUCCCAAAUAUGCCUGUUGAUUUGCUUUGAAUGUUUUCUAUUGAUAUUUGUUUUGCUACUUGUUGUCUCCUCCUGUAAGCACUUGAUGGCAGAUUGGUGAGAGCAGGUGUUAAAGGCUUAAAAACAUCAUUAUUGCUUUUAACUGUCCAUGUCUUCCUCCAUAUGAGAUUGGGCAAAGUUGUGGAAAGCCUGCCAGUGGUAUUUAGUAUUUCCUGCGUCAGACCUGGAGCAGUUAGCUCAGGGGAACUCCUGCUUCCACGGUGCCAAGUUCCUCAUUCUGCAUCUCUCAUGAACACUGGCUUCUGCUUGAAGAAUCCCUGGUUUGUGAAGAAGCCAGUUGAGGGAGAUUCUCCAUGAAUGUACGUCACAAUGAUGAUGACCGACCAGAUCCCUCUGGAACUGCCACCGUUGCUGAACGGAGAGGUUGCCAUGAUGCCUCACUUGGUGAAUGGAGAUGCGGCUCAGCAGGUUAUUCUCGUUCAAGUUAAUCCAGGUGAGACUUUCACAAUAAGAGCGGAGGAUGGAACACUGCAGUGCAUUCAAGUUGGAGGCUAAUUACUUUACAACGGUAUUUUUUUCUGAUGGCAUUUCGCUAAUCGUUGUGUCCCUGAAAUUGAUCUUUGGUGUUCUAAACAAUUUAAAAACCAAGUCUACUCUUUGGUGAUGAAUAAUCAUACAAAGGAACUUCAGAUAAAAGAAGAGAGAAAAUAUUUCAAAGUAGUAUAGGA
This is a non-coding RNA of Odocoileus virginianus texanus, 1186 nucleotides long. The record is from RefSeq and is a predicted model, not a curated record. NCBI's taxonomy places the organism in Eukaryota, Metazoa, Chordata, Mammalia, Artiodactyla, Cervidae.